GAAUCAAAACGGAUAAAGAAUCGAAUUAAAAAUUUACGAAUAUUUUUCUAGCUUAUCCGUAAAUAAUACAAAUAAUAUAUGUAUAACUGGACUUUCGAUUCAUUAUCCGUUUUGAUUUGAAUCAAAAAACUCGAUAUUGUGAGUUUUAUUGGAACCUUACAUGUGACUUUUAUAUUUAAAAACAAAACGUAAAUUACAUAGUGUGAACAUAUUUAUGUAGAGUUUGACUGAAAAUCUCUCUACACGUGACACGUCAACGUUCUCAUUCUCAAAUCAUUGUGAAGCUGCCACGUGUAUAUUAUAGUGUGAACGUUUUUAUUACAAUGUUUCUUUUUAAUAUAUAUGGGAUAUAUAUUUUUUUGGUUCUUCUAAUUAAUUGCUUAAACAAUAAAAGGAAGGAGGGCAGAAGUGUAUUUACAGAGAAAGGAGGAGGACAUUUUGGUCUGACCGAGUCAAUAGAGAGAGGGAUUCGUCUCCAGUCAAUGACUCCUAAUUUGGUAUAUUCCUCGUAACGGCGUCGUUUCGUUCUUCAUUCACCCUAAAAAAACCAGAAAAUUUGCCUCUGAUCGUAUCUGAUCCCCAAAGGUUUGCUGCAAGGACAAUAAAAGAAGAGAAUCGAUCCUCUGUUUUCUGGUAAUUGAGCAUUCAAAUGGGAAGCUGCGUCUCUAAG
Brassica napus (rape) is the source of this 670-nucleotide long non-coding RNA. RefSeq lists it as uncharacterized. The transcript has 2 exons. NCBI's taxonomy places the organism in Eukaryota, Viridiplantae, Streptophyta, Magnoliopsida, Brassicales, Brassicaceae. The record is from RefSeq and is a predicted model, not a curated record.